ACCACAUCUUUCACGUGAAUCAAGCUGAUCUCGGUGUGGACGGAUUUAUUUCAGGGGGUCUCUGUCCUCCGGCAGCAGUGCGCGCCGCCGCGGCAGGGGGCUCCGCCGCUGUGCACCGUGAACGCGCCUUUCCAUGCGGGUUGAAUAAAGAAGAACAGAAAAAAAAAAAAAAAUCAGCUGGUGUUGAAAAGACAUGCAGCCGUGGCCGGGGCGGAGAGCAGAGACCGGUUUUAUUGUCUCGUCGGAAGCCGGUCGCCGGUCCGCAGGCUCAGGUUCUCCUCUCUGCUGCUCCACGCUUUGUCAGCCGCUUCCCGCACGGACCCGGGUGGGUUUGUGGGUUUUCCCUGAAUGAAGCAGCUCCUCCACCGGAGGAGGAGGCGGAGGACUCGUUAGUUUUAAAACGCUAGCGAAGCGGCAGCGUUUUUAUUGUAGUUUUUACUCUUAUUAUUAAUGUUGUGGAGUCAGCGCUGUUUUUUAUCUUUUAAUUAUUUCGUGUUGGACUGAUUCAGCUUUUGUUUGGAGGAAAGAGACUGGCGGAGGAAUCAGAUCUUUAAUUACAUCUUCAUCAGCAGGUUAAUGACAAUUCUUCUUCACGGGUCUGUGCUUGGAUUAUCCCACCUCAACACAGUGGAUUUUUUUUAAUACAUAUUACUAUUAAUUAUUUAUUAUUUUUUAUUGUUACUCUACGUUGCGUCCUGCGUCCUCGGGUCUAUUGUUUGGAUUUGAUCCACCAGCGCCGGACUCUCCCCUAGACUGUCCCGGUCCGGUCCAGUGUUGUCCCGGGUUGAGCAGCACCAUGCCAGAGUGUGUAUCGGUGUGUGAGUUCGUGCAGGAGGUGCAGGACGACUGGAGCUCUCCGACCACCUCCUCAUUCACCUCCAAGAUGAUGAGCUGCAGAAACACCGUCUACCUGCUGGAGGAGGCUCUGGACAGUGACAGGUUGGUGCUGCAGAAGAUGAAGAAAGCUGCAAAAGCCAAAUACGCAGCAGGCCAAGACCACGUCUCUUACCUGGAGCAGUAUAUUAACUCCAUGGAGAAGCUGUCGGUCAACUGUCACUCAAACGGAGAGACGGAGGUUGGCUCCGCCUUCUGUCGCCUGGCGGACUUUUCCAAAGAGCUCGUCUCUCCCAUGAAGAACCUGUUGAAGAGCAUGCUCCACAACAUCAACUUCUUCUUGGACUCUCUGGUUAAAGGAGAUCUGAGGGAGGUGAAGGGGGACCUGAAGAAGCCUUUUGAAAGAACGUGGAGGGAUUACGAGAGCAGAUUUAAGCAGGUGGAGAAGGAGAAGAGGGAGUUGGCUCGUCAGUACGGGAUGGUGAGGACCGAGGUGAGCGGAGGAGAGAUCGCAGAGGAGCUUGAGAAGGAGAGGCGCUCUUUCCAACUGAGCAUGUGCGAGUAUCUGAUCAAGGUCAACGAGAUAAAGACGAAGAGAGGAGUCGACCUGCUGCAGAACCUCAUCAAACACUACCACAGCCACAACAAUUUCCUGCAGGAGUGUGUCUCCACCACUCAGAGGCUGACGCAGUACAUGGAGGAGCUGAACGGAGUCUUGACCACGGUGAAGCAGCGUCAGGAGGAGGAGAAGAGACAGCUGUGCACCCUCAGAGAUCAGCUGAGACCGGUCGUACACACAGAGCAGGAAUCUGUACCUAAGCAGGUGUACAGCAUGCAUCAGCUGCUGGGAGACAAACAGUACGGGACAGAGAGAACGGGAUUCCUCUACAAGAAGAGUGACGGAUUGAGGAAAAUGUGGCAGAAGAGGAAAUGUUCCGUCCACAACUGUUAUCUGACCAUCGCACACGCUACUCCUAAUAAACCUCCGACCAGGCUCAACCUGCUCACAUGUCAGGUCAAACCCAGCGUGGAGGACAAGAAAUGCUUCGACCUAAUCUCUCAUAACCGAACUUAUCACUUCCUGGCUGAGGAUGAAGCUGAGUGUGUGGCCUGGAUCUCGGUGCUCAGUAACAGUAAACAGGAAGCCCUGAGCAUGGCUUUGGAUGGAGGACAGAGAGGGGGAGGUGGAGCUGAGAGCAGCGUGGAGGAUCUGACCCGGGCCAUCACUGACGACAUCCGGAGGAUGCCGGGAAACAACAACUGCUGUGACUGCGGUGCCCCAGAUCCUGGUUGGCUCUCAACAAACCUUGGCAUCCUGACUUGUAUCGAGUGUUCAGGGAUUCACAGGGAGAUGGGGGUCCACGUCUCCAGGAUCCAGUCUCUGAGCCUGGACAGUCUGGGGACCUCAGACUUACUGCUGGCCAGGAAUGUUGGCAACUCUGGUUUCAAUGAAAUACUGGAGGCGAACCUGCUGAGUCCAUCACUAAAGCCCUCCCAACACAGUCACAUGGUGGAGCGUAAAGACUUCAUCAUGUCAAAGUAUCAGGAUGUUCACUUUGUGAGGCGGGGCCACAACUCCGCUGCAACACUGAGACUCAGCCUGCAGGAGGCGACCAAGAGCUGUGACAUCUACAGUCUGAUCCAGCUGUACGCUCAGAGGGCAGAACUGAGCCAACCGCUACACUCACACAUACAGGAGAAAGGGGAGACGGCGCUCCACUUAGCCGUCCUGUUGGCCGAUAGGACAUCACUGCACAUUCUGGACUUCCUGGCUCAGAACUGUUCCAAUGUGGACGCGCAGACAUCAGCAGGAAACACGGCGCUGCACUACAGCUGUCUGCACAACAAGAGUGAUUGUGUGAAGCUGCUGCUGAGGGCCAGAGCCAACACACACAUUAAGAAUGAGUUAGGAGAAACCGCCCUGGACAUGAGCCGCAGGCUGAAGCACAGCCACUGUGAGGCGCUGCUGCAACAGGCCCAGUCCAACCAGUUUGACCAUCACGUCCACGUGGAGUACGAGUGGAGGCUUCGUCAUGACGACAUGUACGACAGCGAUGACGACUUUGAUGACAAGAACGGCCCAGUGAAGAAGGAGCGCUCAUCUUCCUCCUCAUCCUCCUCCUUCACCCCUUCCUUCUCCUUCUCCUCCCGCCCCUUCAGCUUCAGUCAGUCCCUGUCCUCCUCAAACCACAUGUCCUCCCCCGGGGCACCAGCAGGAGGCGGUGGAGGUCUCCUGAGCGUGGGUCGGAGGCUCGCCAUGGCCAUGGAGCUCCACAGUCGCCCCUCUGGCUCCGUCCCCAGCCCUCCUCCUCCUCCGCCAUCCUCCCCUGCUCCCCCGCUGCCUCCCAGGGUCAAAGCUCCCAAUGUUCCUCCUCCCCCUCCUCCCUCUGGAGGAGACGGAGUGGGUGAGGAAGAGGAGGACGAAGGGGAGGUCUUCUUCUCUUUGACAGGAAACAGAAAGAUGACUCCCCCUCCCAUCGCCGUCCGACACAAGAGGAGUUGCUCUGAGUCCAGCAAGCACGAUUACGGGUUGCCAACCAGUCCCAGGAUCUACAGCGGCCCAGACUCCUCCUUCAAGAAGUGUGUUCCAGCUUCACCUCUCAGCUCCCUGACUGAACGACCAGACAGAGGUUUUCGGAGGGCGGAAAGUGACGGUAGCUCCUCCCACUUCCUGUAUCCUGCCAGUAAAGCUCCGCCCAAUGGGUCCCCCACCAAUCCACGCUCUCAGAGCUUUGAGUGCGACAGCAGAGGCCCCGCCCCUCAGCCGCUCCCUCGGCGAUCGUUGCCUCGGGGAACAACCAGCCGUCGGGUCCAGGCUCUGUACGACUGCCAGGCCGACCACCACGACGAGUUGAACUUCUCUGAGGGUCAGGUCCUGGUGGUCCUGGGGCAGGAGGACAGUGAUUGGUGGCACGGUUACAUCGAGGAUGAACCGGACCAGAGAGGUUUGUUUCCGUCCUCCUUUGUCCAGCUGCUGUCAGACUGACGUUGAACCGGGACGACCUGGAGUCAGACAUCAGCCCACGUCCAGAUCGCAUCAGAACCAGGAGCUCAGGAGAACCGGGGCUACUCCGCCACACGCCGCCCAGAAUGAGACGCAGGAGCACGUCCAGCCUCCUUCGAGUCCUCGCGAUCGCCACAGCAACUGGUGUUCCUCAUGCCUUGUUACCGUGGAAACGUCACAGGAUGACCUUUCAGUGAAGACUCUGGACCUUUUUAUUUUUUAUGUGGGGGUCAGGUCGGGAUAACGUUGCCUCACGCUGACUCCCAAGAGCCAACUCGAGGCUCGCCAACAUAAAAGCACACAGAACAACAGCAGGUGUUGGCUUUUAUUUUGAAGUUAAUCUGAACUGCUCUUUUCCGGUUUAUUUAUUUUAAUUUAUUUAAUGUUGUUGAUUCCGUGGCGAAACCACGCGAGCCACUGCCGCCGUAUGUCAGGCUUUUCUUCCUUGUAGGUGCAACGGACCAGGGUUUCAUAAAAGCACAAAGGAUUCUGGGAUACCGCAGACCAAAGCUGUAGACGAAGGUGAAGAUCAGCGUCUGCCGACGGAGACCGGACUUCAGAUUAUUACAGGACUCUAAUCAUGCACUUCCUGAUGUCCCAAGAGAUCACAACACCUCAAGCCAUAUAUUAGAGACUACUGCCACCUGCUGGUAUGAAGAGUUAUUUCAUCCGGUGCCAAACAUUUGUUCCGGCUGCUUGUUGACUCUCCUCUUUGUGGUGUGUCCAAGACACUAGCAACCCCACAGUUCUUUGAUGUUGGUAAAUCUGUAACUUAAUGUCCAAACCACAAUAAAUUCUCCAUUAGACUUAACUGCGCCACUGUGGUUUCUAUAACCAAGUUUUCACAGAUUGAUCUGGACUCUAGCGUCUCAGCAGUGAAUGUCAGACAAACAUCAGAACAACGACUGUUGCCACCUGAAUGAAGGUGGACGUUAUUAAGUCAGCCUCAGCAGCUGUGAUGUAUUUGAGCCAUUUUCUGUGCUCACCAGCUGAUGUGUUAAGUGGAUUUAUGCAAAGCCACUCAGUCAGUGAAUGCAUCUUUUCAGAGAAUAUCAGCUGAUUCCAGGGAAGCGCCACACUGACGUUAAGCUUUGAACUUGGCUAAACGCAACGCUGAAGCUGAAAAAUACUUUGGUAAGAAGUACAACUUUGUUCAAGUGAGGAGAGUAAAUAACAUCCAACGCGUUUCAGUCGUCACAAAGACAGUAAAUGUCGUUAAAACAACAAACAACCAGAGCAGCAGACUAUAAGUAACUAGCUGUCUGAUUAAUUCUGAUACACGCACUUGUUUGUUUUUGUCUUUAAAAAGAUCUGGUAUAAAAUAAACUUGGAAAAAAUCUUGUUAUAAUGAGCUGAUGUAUUUUUGAUUAAUGUCUUAAGUAGAAACAUUCUGUCAUCUGGGUUCGACAAAACAAAUGAUACAAAAGUCUUGAAUUCAUUUUCAGAUUUGUUUUUAUUUCACUCACAGUGACAGCAGUGGGUUUACGCUGGUUCAGUUGAAAUGUCACAGUCUGUCUGGUGUCUAUAAAAGAAAGAUAAUCAA
Molecule: RNA transcript, 5381 nt
Organism: Mugil cephalus (flathead mullet)
Lineage: Eukaryota; Metazoa; Chordata; Actinopteri; Mugiliformes; Mugilidae
Gene name: un-named sa1614
Exons: 29
Source: RefSeq, a predicted model, not a curated record